This 475-nucleotide ribosomal RNA is filed under the name Trithemis selika. RNAcentral's name for it is "partial 16S ribosomal RNA". It matches the Rfam family "Bacterial large subunit ribosomal RNA", at positions 1854 to 2591 of the family's 2925-position model. The record is from RNAcentral. Lineage: Eukaryota; Metazoa; Arthropoda; Insecta; Odonata; Libellulidae.
CUGACCUGCCCAGUGAUUAAUUUAACGGCCGCGGUAUAUUGACCGUGCAAAGGUAGCAUAAUCAUUAGUCUUUUAAUAGAGGGCUGGAAUGAAAGGUUUAACGAGGAACUGACUGUCUCAUUUUAUUUGUUUUAAAAUUUAAUUUUUUAGUUAAAAAGCUAAAAUUUCAUUGGAAGACGAGAAGACCCUAUAGAUCUUUAUAGAUAUAUAUUUAGUUAUUAUUAUAUAAAUAUGACUAUUUAUAAUUCUAUUUUGUUGGGGUGACAAGAAUAUAAAAUCAACUUUUUUAUUUAUUUAACAUUGAUUUAUGAUUAUAUGAUCCAUUAUUAGUGAUUAUUAGAUGAAGUUACCUUAGGGAUAACAGCGUAAUCCUCCUCCAGAGUUCAUAUUUACAGGAUGGGCUUGCGACCUCGAUGUUGGAUUAAGAUGAUAAUUAGGUGUAGCAGCUUAAUGUAUAGGUCUGUUCGACCUUUAA